Molecule: long non-coding RNA, 713 nt
Filed under: Olea europaea subsp. europaea
Lineage: Eukaryota; Viridiplantae; Streptophyta; Magnoliopsida; Lamiales; Oleaceae
Source: RNAcentral
UUUAAAGAAAACUCAUUAUCUCAGUCAAUUUUGCAACAGACUGAUCAACUAUAUGCUCAAAAAAGGUGACCAAAUAUGUAUUCAGUAAGAGCAUGCUCUCUCAUAUCUCUUGUAAGUAUUUAACAACGAUUAUUUUUCGACAAGCAUUACUUGUAUCCUAAUCUUAAUUAUUAUGAUCAUCCACAAGUGCUUAGAGAUAGGUGUAAUAGAUGGCUUUGCCGUGAAGUAGUGUAAGUAUCAUAAGAGAAGCAAUGCCAUUUUAUAAUUGUGUUAUCUAGAAACUUCUUUCAACAAGAAUAAAAUUCAGUUCAAGUACUUACGUUAAGCUUUUGAUGUUAAAUAUGUGUUCUUGGAGUUACAGAGUGCCGUUGGUAUACAGACCAUAUUAAAGCUACAAAUUGAUAUACACUCGGUCAUAAACAUACUACCAAGUUUAUGCCAUUUCUGGGUGAAACUCACAUCUAAACAAAUCGCUUAGGUUAAGGAGCGUAUGGCACAGGCAGGGAAGACUCAAAAGACAUGGGCAAAAAGCAGUUUCAAGCAAAGGCGCUAGCUUCUGAGGAUACUUCGAAGUAUAUCAUUAAGCACAGGAUCAUAUGUGCGAGUAAGAACUCUUAACUGCACAUUGAUAAAGUUUGAAGAAUAAAAUAAAGGCUGUUUGUUAUGAUUUUGUUCGAUAUUUUGUAAAUGAUAUGGUCUUUGACACCUUUCAG